RNAcentral lists this ribosomal RNA (430 nucleotides) under Pseudomonadota bacterium. Its description in RNAcentral is "Proteobacteria bacterium partial 16S ribosomal RNA". It matches the Rfam family "Bacterial small subunit ribosomal RNA", at positions 355 to 776 of the family's 1533-position model. Lineage: Bacteria; Pseudomonadati; Pseudomonadota. The record is from RNAcentral.
UGGGGAAUAUUGGACAAUGGGGGGAACCCUGAUCCAGCCAUGCCGCGUGUGUGAAGAAGGCCUUAUGGUUGUAAAGCACUUUAAGCGAGGAGGAGGGUACUGGUAUUAAUACUACCAGCUACUGGACGUUACUCGCAGAAUAAGCACCGGCUAACUCUGUGCCAGCAGCCGCGGUAAUACAGAGGGUGCGAGCGUUAAUCGGAUUUACUGGGCGUAAAGCGUGCGUAGGCGGCUAAUUGAGUCGGAUGUGAAAUCCCCGAGCUUAACUUGGGAACUGCAUUCGAUACUGGUUAGCUAGAGUGUGGGAGAGGAUGGUAGAAUUCCAGGUGUAGCGGAGAAAUGCGUAGAGAUCUGGAGGAAUACCGAUGGCGAAGGCAGCCAUCUGGCCUAACACUGACGCUGAGGUACGAAAGCAUGGGGAGCAAACAGG